CCUACGGGAUGCAGCAGUGGGGAAUAUUGCACAAUGGGCGCAAGCCUGAUGCAGCCAUGUCGCGUGUGUGAAGAAGGCCUUCGGGUUGUAAAGCACUUUCAGCGGGGAGGAAGGCGCUAAGGUUAAUAACCUUAGCGAUUGACGUUACCCGCAGAAGAAGCACCGGCUAACUCCGUUCCAGCAGCCGCGGUAAUACGGAGGGUGCAAGCGUUAAUCGGAAUUUCUGGGCGUAAAGCGCACGCAGGCGGUCUGUCAAGUCGGAUGUGAAAUCCCCGGGCCCAACCUGGGAACUGCAUUCGAAACUGGCAGACUAGAGUCUUGUAGAGGGGGGUAGAAUUUCAGGUGUAGCGGUGAAAUGCGUAGAGAUCUGAAGGAAUACCGGUGGCGAAGGCGGCCCCCUGGACAAAGACUGACGCUCAGAUGCGAAAGCGUGGGGAGCAAACAGGAUUAGAUACCCCGGUAGUC
This 465-nucleotide ribosomal RNA is filed under the name uncultured bacterium. RNAcentral's name for it is "bacterial SSU rRNA". It matches the Rfam family "Bacterial small subunit ribosomal RNA", at positions 338 to 795 of the family's 1533-position model. The record is from RNAcentral.